This is a long non-coding RNA of Nyctereutes procyonoides (raccoon dog), 1179 nucleotides long. RefSeq lists it as uncharacterized. NCBI's taxonomy places the organism in Eukaryota, Metazoa, Chordata, Mammalia, Carnivora, Canidae. The transcript has 10 exons. The record is from RefSeq and is a predicted model, not a curated record.
UGUUUAAUAGCUUCUUGGCUCGAGGCCCCCCCCCCCCCCAAAGCUCUUGGCAAUUGAAGGCGCCUUAAACUGGUAUUUUUAGGCUGGUCACGAGCCUUUGCAGGAUUCACAAGAUGAAGAUGGUAAACGAUUGCGCGUUGGGUGCGGCCCAGACUCUUAACGACGCGGGUUGUUGGGGCUGAACUGCGAAAAACCCGUGGGCUCGCGUUUCCUGCCUGUGAUGAAGCCUGUGUUGGUAGGGACAUCUGAGACUGUUGAUGAAUGCCAACGGCUCUGAUGGCGGCGCUUGCCGGGUCCCCGAGUGGGCCUUCGUUGGUGACCUCGGCCCGGGCCUCUUGCGGCCUCUCGCCGGGGAAGGCGGGCGGUGGCGGUAGUCCACGUGGUGCUCAGCGGCUGCAGUCCGCGGUGCGCCGUUAACGUCAGUGCCUCCCAGCCUUUGUGCGGUGCUUUCUGUCUAGGCUGUUCAGUGCAUGCACCCUUUAUAGUCCUGAGAUUAUGGUUGAACGGCCUGAUUCAGACGGGAGGAAAACGGCAUGCUUAGGCUUCAACUUAGAACAAAAUGACUUAUCUUAAAAAAAUCCUAAUCUUUUUUUUUUUUUCUAGGAAUGGUGCUAGGCGCGAGUGCAGUGCGGCUUUUGAUGGCUCCUGAUGGACAAGUUCUGUGCCAAAGGGGUGGAAGUGGCUGCCAAGAUCCAAAGCUCAAGUUUCACAUCCUAGCCAUGGGCAAACAGGCACGCAACAUAAUUAGCUGGAAGUUGAAAGGGUGAACUUGAGCCUUUGACCUGUCUGCACCAACUAUUUUUGGGCUUACAGACCACUAUCAUGGAUGGCUUGCUUGGGGGUAAGACCUAAAAAAACUCUGGUUUCCGAACUCGGGUCUAUAUUUCUGUAAUGUGCUUUCUGGGUAUUGUGAAGUAUGUCUAAAAUAUUUUUUGUUAGGUGCUGAUUUUAAAGACCUCGUAUAAAGGUGUGAAGAGUUUUGAGGCCAGCUUACAAGGCCUGGGAGCACAGGAGUUUAAGUAAGCCAUGGCAGACCUGUCAAGCUGAAGAUUUAGAGAGGGCAUUUAGGAGAGCAGCAAUCCAGUUAUGAGAACAUCUUACCAGUUGAAGGGUACCCGAAUGGAUGCUCAUGGGAUAGAAGAUCAUACUUUCAAUUUCAAUAAAUUUUUAUAAACCAUC